UUAAGGUAAGUGUAACGUACAUUUGCAUUUUGCAACAGAAACAGCUUCUUAUAGAGUAUUGUUUUACAGGCUAAUCUUUUUUUAUGUAAUGUAUUCAAAUGUAAUUAUAAUUAGGAUUGGGAUAAUACAAAAAUAUACUUUUUGCUUAGUGAUAUCUAUUACAUUGUGACAGAAUUUGGUUUCUCAAUAAUUCUCAUCCUGAGAUUGAAUCCACAAAAUAAUUGAAGAAAUGGUUUCAGAUGAUUACGAACAAGCGCAGCUAUCUUUGGAGAGGUAAUGCACCUACUGAUAUCCCGUGAUAAGAACUUGGGAGAGAUUUAGUGAAAACCUGGAGAACGGCCACUUAGCUCACAAAUCUGAGCUGUUCACAUCAAGCUGAUAUUUGUGACAGCCAUUAUAGCUUUAAUCAUUUUCUCGAUUGAUCAAAGCACCACAGACUGCAUCGUUCGUCACCUCUGCCUUUAAGCGCGUUAUCACCUACUCCAAUAAGCCACCCCAAUAUCCUUAAUAAGCAAUAGAAGUUCUUAUCGACUGUGUAUGACUCAUUAAUAUCCAUGUUCUGUAUAAAUUUAUGUGAUAGGCCUACUGGUAUUAAUGUUGAUGUACCGUAAUGUUUUUUGCUCAUGUAUAAUUGAUAAUAAUACAUUAAAAAUAAAUAUAAUGUUAAAUUAUUA
This is a long non-coding RNA of Nilaparvata lugens (brown planthopper), 674 nucleotides long. RefSeq lists it as uncharacterized. Lineage: Eukaryota; Metazoa; Arthropoda; Insecta; Hemiptera; Delphacidae. The record is from RefSeq and is a predicted model, not a curated record. The transcript is spliced from 3 exons.